UGGGCAACCUGCCCCUCUCUCUGGGAUAACCCCCGGGGAAACCGGAGCUAAUACCGGAUACUCCGGCUGGAUCGCAUGGUCCGGCCGGGAAAGGUCCGCCGGAGAGGGAUGAGCCCGCGGCGGAUUAGCUUGUUGGUGGGGUAAUGGCCUACCAAGGCAACGAUCCGUAGCUGGUCUGAGAGGACGAUCAGCCACACUGGGACUGAGACACGGCCCAGACCUCCGUACGGGAGGCA
This 236-nucleotide ribosomal RNA is filed under the name uncultured bacterium. RNAcentral's name for it is "partial 16S ribosomal RNA". It matches the Rfam family "Bacterial small subunit ribosomal RNA", at positions 118 to 350 of the family's 1533-position model. The record is from RNAcentral.